GAUGAAGAACGCAGCGAAAUGCGAUAAGUAAUGUGAAUUGCAGAGUUCAGUGAAUCAUCGAAUCUUUGAACGCACAUUGCGCCCAUCAGUAUUCUGUUGGGCAUGCCUGUCCGAGCGUCAUUUCAACCCUCAGGGCCCGUUCGCGGGAACUGGUGUUGGGGAUCGGCCUCCCCCCGGAGGCCGGCCCCGAAAUGCAGUGGCGGCUCUACCGCGAUCUCCUCUGUGUAGUAGCGAUACCUCGCAGCUGGAUAGUGGUGGUGCCACGCCGUAAAAUCCCAACUUUACCAAGGUUGACCUCGGAUCAGGUAGGAAUACCCGCUGAACUUAAGCAUAUCAAUAAGCGGAGGA
RNAcentral lists this unclassified non-coding RNA (348 nucleotides) under soil metagenome. RNAcentral describes it as "partial contains 5.8S ribosomal RNA, internal transcribed spacer 2, and large subunit ribosomal RNA". The stretch from base 1 to 120 matches the Rfam family "5.8S ribosomal RNA", at positions 35 to 154 of the family's 154-position model. The record is from RNAcentral.